AUACGUAGGGUCCGAGCGUUAUCCGGAAUCAUUGGGCGUAAAGAGCUCGUAGGCGGUUCAGCAAGUCGGCUGUGAAAGUUCGAGGCUCAACCUCGAAAUUGCAGUCGAUACUGCUGUGACUCGAGUCCGGUAGAGGAGAAUGGAAUUCUCGGUGUAGCGGUGAAAUGCGCAGAUAUCGAGAGGAACACCAGUAGCGAAGGCGGUUCUCUGGGCCGGCACUGACGCUGAGGAGCGAAAGCGUGGGGAGCAAACAGGAUUAGAUACCCGAGUAGUCC
Molecule: ribosomal RNA, 275 nt
Filed under: uncultured bacterium
Lineage: Bacteria
Description: partial 16S ribosomal RNA
Rfam family: Bacterial small subunit ribosomal RNA
Source: RNAcentral